ACCUUCCUUGUCUUGGGGAGCAGAAAUGUCCAAUGAACGUAUAGUGAGGACAUUGCUGCUGACACCAAUGAUAUUAACAUCAGCCCCCGUUUGCUGAUCAUCUCGUGAUUAGCUUUCGGAAUUUUUGGAAAAAGGCCCCCUUACUUUAUAGGGGGUCGU
Molecule: non-coding RNA, 159 nt
Filed under: Drosophila grimshawi
Lineage: Eukaryota; Metazoa; Arthropoda; Insecta; Diptera; Drosophilidae
Description: U4atac minor spliceosomal RNA
Rfam family: U4atac minor spliceosomal RNA (bases 1-132)
About the family: U4atac is an essential component of the minor U12-type spliceosome complex which is required for removal of the rarer class of eukaryotic introns (AT-AC, U12-type). These interacting stem loops have been shown to be required for in vivo splicing. U4atac also contains an 3' Sm protein binding site which has been shown to be essential for splicing activity.
Source: Rfam by way of RNAcentral